Molecule: ribosomal RNA, 253 nt
Filed under: uncultured bacterium
Lineage: Bacteria
Description: partial 16S ribosomal RNA
Rfam family: Bacterial small subunit ribosomal RNA
Source: RNAcentral
GACGGAAGGUGCAAGCGUUGCUCGGAAUCACUGGGCGUAAAGGGUGCGUAGGCGGCCGUGCAAGUCUGGCGUGAAAGCCCCGGGCUCAGCCCGGGAAGUGCGCUCGAAACUGCGCGGCUCGAGUGCCGGAGGGGAGAGUGGAAUUCCUGGUGUAGCGGUGAAAUGCGUAGAUAUCAGGAGGAAUACCGGUGGCGAAAGCGACUCUCUGGACGGCAACUGACGCUGAGACGCGAAAGCUAGGGGAGCGAACAGG